AUGGGCGAUGUAAGGAUCGUGUCCCGGCGCAUGGUCCGGCCGGAACUAAUCGCCUCGGGGCCGCCGGAGACCAUCCACCUGACGCCAUGGGAUCUCCGGGUGAUCACCGUGGACAACAUCCAGAAGGGCAUCCUCCUGCCCAAGCCUCCAGCCACCGGAGGACGGGGACACGAUGCCGCCGCCAUGGUCGAACGGCUCGAGUUGUCCUUCGCGCGCGCUCUGGGGCGCUUCUACCCCUACGCCGGCCGCCUCGCCGUCGCGCCGGGGAGCAAAGACGACGCGGAGGGCGAGCGCAUGGCCAUCUCGCUCCGCUGCAGCGGCGAGGGCGCCGAGUUCGUCCACGCCGUGGCGCCCGGCGUCGCCGUCGCGGACAUCACCGUCCCGCUCUGCAUCCCGAGGGUGGUCUGGUCCUUCUUCCCUCUGGACAGGCUGCUCGGCGUUGACGCCAUCGCGGACUCCCGCCCUGUCCUGGCCGCGCAGGUCACCGAGCUCGCCGACGGCGUAUUCGUUGCCAUGUCGGCCAACCACGGCGUCGCCGACGGGACGACCUUCUGGCACUUCUUCAACACCUGGUCGGAGAUCAGUCGCCUGAGCGACGGCGACGCUGGCUGCGAGAUCUCCUCGCCGUUGCCGGUGCACCGGAGGUGGUUCCUGGACGGCUGCCCCGUCCCGAUCCCUCUGCCCUUCGGCAAGCUCGAGGACAUCGUCGGCCAGCGUGUAGAUACGUACCCGCCGGUGGAGGAAUGCUUUCUCCAUUUCUCGGCGGAGAGCGUGAGGAAGCUGAAGGCAAAGGCGAACGCCGAGAUGGCCGGUACGGCAGCCACGGGCACCGCCAUCUCCUCGCUGCAGGCCCUGCUCGCGCACCUGUGGCGUGCGGUGUGCCGGGCCAGGAGGCUCGCGCCGGACCAGAAGACCACGUACCAUCUCCUCGCCGGAUGCCGCGGCCGCGUGGACGGCAUACCGGCGUCCUACGCGGGCAAUGCUGUGGAGCACGCCACGGCGAUUUCCACCGCCGGCGAGAUCCUCGAGAGGGGGCUGGGCUGGGCGGCGUGGCUACUUAACAGGGCCGUGGCGUCGUUCGACGAGGCCAGUGCGAGGGGUAGGCUCGCGUCCUGGCCCCGGAACCCCGGCUUCUUGCGCAUGUCGGAGGUCGUGACCGCCCCGCACCCGCACACAACGGUGGCGACAGGGAGCUCGCCGCGGUUCGACGUGUACGGCAACGACUUCGGGUGGGGCAGCCCCGUGGCCGUGCGCAGCGGCUCGGGGAACAAGGUGGAUGGAAAGGUGACCGUGUACGAGGGCAGAGGCGGCGGAGGGAGCAUUGCCCUGGAGGUUUGUCUGUCACCGGAGGCGUUUCCCAGGCUCCUCGCCGACGAGGAGUUCAUGGGCAUGGUGGGCGCGACUGAUUAA
RNAcentral lists this ribosomal RNA (1410 nucleotides) under Triticum aestivum (bread wheat). RNAcentral describes it as "partial small subunit ribosomal RNA". The record is from RNAcentral. Lineage: Eukaryota; Viridiplantae; Streptophyta; Magnoliopsida; Poales; Poaceae.